AUGCCAGACUCCUACGGGAGGCAGCAGUGAGGAAUAUUGGUCAAUGGGAGGAAUCCUGAACCAGCCAUGCCGCGUGCAGGACGACGGCUCUACGAGUUGUAAACUGCUUUUGUACCGGGGUAAAAUGCCUUACGAGUAGGGUUUUGAAAGUACGGUACGAAUAAGGAUCGGCUAACUCCGUGCCAGCAGCCGCGGUAAUACGUAGGGAGCGAGCGUUAUCCGGAUUUAUUGGGUGUAAAGGGUGCGUAGACGGGAAAAUAAGUUAGUUGUGAAAUCCCUCGGCUCAACUGAGGAACUGCAACUAAAACUAUUUUUCUUGAGUGCAGGAGAGGAAAGUGGAAUUCCUAGUGUAGCGGUGAAAUGCGUAGAUAUUAGGAGGAACACCAGUGGCGAAGGCGACUUUCUGGACUGUAACUGACGUUGAGGCACGAAAGUGUGGGGAGCAAACAGGAUUAGAUACCCUUGUAU
RNAcentral lists this ribosomal RNA (468 nucleotides) under uncultured bacterium. RNAcentral's name for it is "bacterial SSU rRNA". It matches the Rfam family "Bacterial small subunit ribosomal RNA", at positions 328 to 793 of the family's 1533-position model. The record is from RNAcentral.